This 319-nucleotide long non-coding RNA is filed under the name Brassica napus (rape). RNAcentral's name for it is "long non-coding RNA (BNAP_LNC002124)". The record is from RNAcentral. Lineage: Eukaryota; Viridiplantae; Streptophyta; Magnoliopsida; Brassicales; Brassicaceae.
GAACCUCUCGCUUUAGAUUGUUCGGGGUGGGAUAGCGAGGGGUUGUAUUUGUUAACUCACUCGUCACUCGUUGUUGUUUUCAGGUGACCAGUAGUGAGCUCGUAGAAGGCGCGGGAGGCUAGGCUGGCUGGUGUAGAUUUGCAUCUUUUUGCUUAAGACGCUUUCAGAAUAUAAGUAUGUACUUUUGCUUUCUUGGCAUGCCACCACUUGUAUAAUAUUUUGUGUAUUGUAAACCAGAUAUUAUAUAAGAUAAAUAAAGUGAAUGUUUUGUGAAAAUGCCUUGUUGUUCUGAUAUUAGCUUGUCCGAGCUAACACAACG